GUAUCGCUAUAGUGAAGUUACUUCAUGCUUAUGGUGUGAAUAAUAUGAUUAUGUGCGAUUCAAAAGGUGCUAUU
Molecule: transfer RNA, 74 nt
Filed under: Staphylococcus epidermidis
Lineage: Bacteria; Bacillati; Bacillota; Bacilli; Caryophanales; Staphylococcaceae
Also listed under: 4 other names
Description: tRNA-Ile
Source: RNAcentral